Molecule: long non-coding RNA, 411 nt
Filed under: Mytilus galloprovincialis (Mediterranean mussel)
Lineage: Eukaryota; Metazoa; Mollusca; Bivalvia; Mytilida; Mytilidae
Source: RNAcentral
AAGACUUUUGCCCUCCCAAACACAAUCCAUAGUUCGUCUACCCCUAUGUCACGGAAUAGCGAAACAGUAGUGACAGCAUCAUCAUUAACGACUGUUCGAAUCUCGAGGUUCGAAUCGUGACUCGUUUAAGUUCGUGUUUCACUGCAUCAGACACAUGCACCAUGAUUCUAGUGUCUGCCUCUAAAUGUGAACUUGGUGCUAAACUUGAAAUACAUCACGUGGUGGAUAAGCUAGAAUGUCCUGACCAUUUGUUGCUGUAACUACCAUACUCAUCCAAGACUUCAUCCACUCGUUUUACAGUUUCAAGGUAUUUUAUUAAGGUAAGGACAUAAUACCAAAUCAGCAUACUCAUUAGGCUGCAAUUCACAAUCGGAGAGCUGAUUUCCCACAUUUACAAAGACUGUGGUAUUG